Molecule: transfer RNA, 75 nt
Filed under: Vicugna pacos (alpaca)
Lineage: Eukaryota; Metazoa; Chordata; Mammalia; Artiodactyla; Camelidae
Description: tRNA-Ala (AGC) (tRNA-Ala-AGC-475-1)
Rfam family: tRNA
About the family: Transfer RNA (tRNA) molecules are approximately 80 nucleotides in length.
Source: RNAcentral
GGAGAGGGUAUAGCUCAGUGGUAGAGUGUGUGCUUAGCAUGCACAGGGUCCUGGGUUCAAUCCCCAGUGCCUCCA